GGGUUGUGAGGUUAAGCGACUAAGCGUACACGGUGGAUGCCCUGGCAGUCAGAGGCGAUGAAGGACGUGCUAAUCUGCGAUAAGCGUCGGUAAGGUGAUAUGAACCGUUAUAACCGGCGAUUUCCGAAUGGGGAAACCCAGUGUGUUUCGACACACUAUCAUUAACUGAAUCCAUAGGUUAAUGAGGCGAACCGGGGGAACUGAAACAUCUAAGUACCCCGAGGAAAAGAAAUCAACCGAGAUUCCCCCAGUAGCGGCGAGCGAACGGGGAGGAGCCCAGAGCCUGAAUCAGUGUGUGUGUUAGUGGAAGCGUCUGGAAAGGCGCGCGAUACAGGGUGACAGCCCCGUACACAAAAAUGCACAUACUGUGAGCUCGAUGAGUAGGGCGGGACACGUGGUAUCCUGUCUGAAUAUGGGGGGACCAUCCUCCAAGGCUAAAUACUCCUGACUGACCGAUAGUGAACCAGUACCGUGAGGGAAAGGCGAAAAGAACCCCGGCGAGGGGAGUGAAAAAGAACCUGAAACCGUGUACGUACAAGCAGUGGGAGCCUCUUAAUGGGGUGACUGCGUACCUUUUGUAUAAUGGGUCAGCGACUUAUAUUCUGUAGCAAGGUUAACCGAAUAGGGGAGCCGAAGGGAAACCGAGUCUUAACUGGGCGUUAAGUUGCAGGGUAUAGACCCGAAACCCGGUGAUCUAGCCAUGGGCAGGUUGAAGGUUGGGUAACACUAACUGGAGGACCGAACCGACUAAUGUUGAAAAAUUAGCGGAUGACUUGUGGCUGGGGGUGAAAGGCCAAUCAAACCGGGAGAUAGCUGGUUCUCCCCGAAAGCUAUUUAGGUAGCGCCUCGUGAAUUCAUCUCCGGGGGUAGAGCACUGUUUCGGCAAGGGGGUCAUCCCGACUUACCAACCCGAUGCAAACUGCGAAUACCGGAGAAUGUUAUCACGGGAGACACACGGCGGGUGCUAACGUCCGUCGUGAAGAGGGAAACAACCCAGACCGCCAGCUAAGGUCCCAAAGUCAUGGUUAAGUGGGAAACGAUGUGGGAAGGCCCAGACAGCCAGGAUGUUGGCUUAGAAGCAGCCAUCAUUUAAAGAAAGCGUAAUAGCUCACUGGUCGAGUCGGCCUGCGCGGAAGAUGUAACGGGGCUAAACCAUGCACCGAAGCUGCGGCAGCGACACUAUGUGUUGUUGGGUAGGGGAGCGUUCUGUAAGCCUGCGAAGGUGUACUGUGAGGUAUGCUGGAGGUAUCAGAAGUGCGAAUGCUGACAUAAGUAACGAUAAAGCGGGUGAAAAGCCCGCUCGCCGGAAGACCAAGGGUUCCUGUCCAACGUUAAUCGGGGCAGGGUGAGUCGACCCCUAAGGCGAGGCCGAAAGGCGUAGUCGAUGGGAAACAGGUUAAUAUUCCUGUACUUGGUGUUACUGCGAAGGGGGGACGGAGAAGGCUAUGUUGGCCGGGCGACGGUUGUCCCGGUUUAAGCGUGUAGGCUGGUUUUCCAGGCAAAUCCGGAAAAUCAAGGCUGAGGCGUGAUGACGAGGCACUACGGUGCUGAAGCAACAAAUGCCCUGCUUCCAGGAAAAGCCUCUAAGCAUCAGGUAACAUCAAAUCGUACCCCAAACCGACACAGGUGGUCAGGUAGAGAAUACCAAGGCGCUUGAGAGAACUCGGGUGAAGGAACUAGGCAAAAUGGUGCCGUAACUUCGGGAGAAGGCACGCUGAUAUGUAGGUGAAGUCCCUCGCGGAUGGAGCUGAAAUCAGUCGAAGAUACCAGCUGGCUGCAACUGUUUAUUAAAAACACAGCACUGUGCAAACACGAAAGUGGACGUAUACGGUGUGACGCCUGCCCGGUGCCGGAAGGUUAAUUGAUGGGGUUAGCGGUAACGCGAAGCUCUUGAUCGAAGCCCCGGUAAACGGCGGCCGUAACUAUAACGGUCCUAAGGUAGCGAAAUUCCUUGUCGGGUAAGUUCCGACCUGCACGAAUGGCGUAAUGAUGGCCAGGCUGUCUCCACCCGAGACUCAGUGAAAUUGAACUCGCUGUGAAGAUGCAGUGUACCCGCGGCAAGACGGAAAGACCCCGUGAACCUUUACUAUAGCUUGACACUGAACAUUGAGCCUUGAUGUGUAGGAUAGGUGGGAGGCUUUGAAGUGUGGACGCCAGUCUGCAUGGAGCCGGCCUUGAAAUACCACCCUUUAAUGUUUGAUGUUCUAACGUUGGCCCCUGAUCGGGGUUGCGGACAGUGUCUGGUGGGUAGUUUGACUGGGGCGGUCUCCUCCUAAAGAGUAACGGAGGAGCACGAAGGUUGGCUAAUCCUGGUCGGACAUCAGGAGGUUAGUGCAAUGGCAUAAGCCAGCUUGACUGCGAGCGUGACGGCGCGAGCAGGUGCGAAAGCAGGUCAUAGUGAUCCGGUGGUUCUGAAUGGAAGGGCCAUCGCUCAACGGAUAAAAGGUACUCCGGGGAUAACAGGCUGAUACCGCCCAAGAGUUCAUAUCGACGGCGGUGUUUGGCACCUCGAUGUCGGCUCAUCACAUCCUGGGGCUGAAGUAGGUCCCAAGGGUAUGGCUGUUCGCCAUUUAAAGUGGUACGCGAGCUGGGUUUAGAACGUCGUGAGACAGUUCGGUCCCUAUCUGCCGUGGGCGCUGGAGAACUGAGGGGGGCUGCUCCUAGUACGAGAGGACCGGAGUGGACGCAUCACUGGUGUUCGGGUUGUCAUGCCAAUGGCACUGCCCGGUAGCUAAAUGCGGAAGAGAUAAGUGCUGAAAGCAUCUAAGCACGAAACUUGCCCCGAGAUGAGUUCUCCCUGACUCUUUAAGGGUCCUGAAGGAACGUUGAAGACGACGACGUUGAUAGGCCGGGUGUGUAAGCGCAGCGAUGCGUUGAGCUAACCGGUACUAAUGAACCGUGAGGCUUAACCUUACAACGCCGAAG
Molecule: ribosomal RNA, 2925 nt
Filed under: Escherichia coli
Lineage: Bacteria; Pseudomonadati; Pseudomonadota; Gammaproteobacteria; Enterobacterales; Enterobacteriaceae
Description: partial 23S ribosomal RNA
Rfam family: Bacterial large subunit ribosomal RNA
Source: RNAcentral